Molecule: ribosomal RNA, 1075 nt
Filed under: uncultured bacterium
Lineage: Bacteria
Description: bacterial SSU rRNA
Rfam family: Bacterial small subunit ribosomal RNA
Source: RNAcentral
AUUCGAUUAGAGUUUGAUCCUGGCUCAGGAUUAACGCUAGCGGCAGGCUUAAUACAUGCAAGUUGAACGGUAACAGGUCCAGCAAUGGAUGCUGACGAGUGGCGCACGGGUGCGUAACACGUAUGCAACCUACCCUAUACAGGGACAUAACCUUUAGAAAUGGGGGCUAAUAUUCCAUGGUGUUAUUUGGUGGCAUCACUGAAUAACUAAAGAUUUACAUUGGUAUAGGAUGGGCAUGCGUCCCAUUAGUUAGUUGGUAGGGUAACGGCCUACCAAGGCGAUGAUGGGUAGGGGUCCUGAGAGGGUUAUCCCCCACACUGGUACUGAGACACGGACCAGACUCCUACGGGAGGCAGCAGUAAGGAAUAUUGGGCAAUGGGCGCAAGCCUGACCCAGCCAUGCCGCGUGCAGGAAGACGGCCUUAUGGGUUGUAAACUGCUUUUAUGCGAGGCUAAAACCCCCAACGAGCUUGGGGCUUGCAGGUAUCGCAUGAAUAAGCAUCGGCUAACUCCGUGCCAGCAGCCGCGGUAAUACGGAGGAUGCGAGCGUUAUCCGGAUUUAUUGGGUUUAAAGGGUGCGCAGGCGGAAUAUUAAGUCAGUGGUGAAAUACUCCGGCUCAACCGGGGUGCUGCCGUUGAUACUGGUAUUCUUGAGAGUAAUGGACGUGGGCGGAAUGUGUCAUGUAGCGGUGAAAUGCAUAGAGAUGACACAGAACACCGAUAGCGAAGGCAGCUCACGAUAUUAUAUCUGACGCUCAUGCACGAGAGCGUGGGGAUCAAACAGGAUUAGAUACCCUGGUAGUCCACGCCGUAAACGAUGAUCACUAGCUGUAGGCGAUAUACCGAUCUGUGGCUAAGCGAAAGCGAUAAGUGAUCCACCUGGGGAGUACGUUGGCAACGAUGAAACUCAAAGGAAUUGACGGGGGCCCGCACAAGCGGAGGAGCAUGUGGUUUAAUUCGAUGAUACGCCGAGGAACCUUACCUGGACUUGAACGUAUGGUGCAUAUCUGAGAGAUCAGAUUUUCCAGCAAUGGACUUCAUACGAGGUGCUGCAUGGCUGUCGUCAGCUCGUGCCG